UCGUACCGGAGGCAGCAGUCUUAAUUGAGGCCGCAGGGGGGAAUCCUGAACAAUCAACCAAGCGUGAAGAGCCAUACUUGGGAAUGUAAAGGUCUUUAUCAAGAAGAAUGGUAGUGAAAAAGAUAAUGACGUACAUGAGAGAGACGCCCC
This 150-nucleotide ribosomal RNA is filed under the name uncultured bacterium. RNAcentral describes it as "partial 16S ribosomal RNA". The record is from RNAcentral.